Molecule: long non-coding RNA, 1704 nt
Organism: Scylla paramamosain (green mud crab)
Lineage: Eukaryota; Metazoa; Arthropoda; Malacostraca; Decapoda; Portunidae
Exons: 6
Source: RefSeq, a predicted model, not a curated record
CUAUCCUUAAAAUCAGUAUGUCGUGGUGGAAGAGUUGGUAGCCCUGCACAUGUCCAUCCGAGAAUUACGUCACAGGUGGGCACAAGCCGCAGUCAUUCGCCGGCGCCUCCCUGCAGUCUCAGGUAGCAGCGGCGAUGCGUAGUGCUGUUGCUUUGUACUGAGUGAGCGUGAAAGAACCCUCGUGACGAUAUAUGGUGAUGGACGUGUGGGCCUUUACGUUGUGGAAAUAGAAGAUCUCUCGAUGGACGGUACUUGGAACUGAAUCCUGAGACGAAUCAUCUUGGCAGCGCGAGACUCAAGGGACGAGGCUGAUAUGAUUGUGUGUGGCGUAAAUAUUUCACGCCGCUGCCUCUAUGUAUUUACAGAACAAGCCAGCGCCAAGUAAACGAGUUGGGACGAAAAGACCCCGUGACGCAGUGGGCCUCUGGUCUCGUGGAGAGUGAUCUGCCGCAAGAGGUAGGAUGCACGUGAGUUUCGUCCUGGCCACGGAAUUCCGGAUAAGGCAGGGAGAGUGGCUGAUCAGCCAGGACUGAGUAGAAGAUGCUGAGUCUCGAGAGUGAACUGUGUGGUGCAGGACUGUAUCGGUCAUGCAGUCUCUUUUAACGAGAGACACAUCGUGGAGGAGGCUGGCGAGUGCUCUCAACACACGUGACGGAGCGGCGCCAUGGUAACUGUCACCGUGGCCAGGAAGUCUCUUGUGCUGAACACUGCAAUGUUGUGUUAUCAAGACUGUGUAUUGGUGCAGCGCAUACAGUCGGAUCACUAAGCGUGUUGUAGUGAUGAGACUAUGGCGAAUGAUUAUUGAUCGUUAGAAAAAAACUAUAGGUUUGAUAAUAAUUCAAUGCUUGAGUUACACUAACACUCCAUCACUACCGCCACCACCACCGCCAUAACCACCAUCACCACCGCCAUCACCACCGCCACCACCGCCGCUACUAAGACCUGGCGGCCCUGCUCGGUCCCUUCCACGACUCGCAGUGAGAGAGAGAGAAGUCGAGGUGCGGUGGUCUCGUGGCGGAAGGCUGAAGGAGGCGGUGAAGGAGUGAAGGUGUGAAGUGUGCAGCUUCCACUUCAUCAUCCCAUGAACAGCCCACAGGAAUCUCUACCAGCACCUGGUUAUUAAACAGUGUUGUCACGCCAGGCCCAAUGUACUCCAUUGCAAUCAGGGAGUCAAGCUUCACCAGGAAAAGAGGCAGAGCGUCACCACCUUCAAGCCCCACAAGAGAUAUUAAGUAUCAUUGGGACAAAGCAAUCAGGGAAGAGUCAAGUUGCAGUAAGAAGAGUGUGUCAAGAAUUUCAAGCAGGAAGAACACGUAAAAUUCCCUUCAAGUCAUGGCGGGACCGACAGGCAACCUUCAACACUUGUGGAGGCACGAGAGCUGCAGGCAGUUUCACAAAGAAGAGGUUGCUCCUCACUCAAGUUGACACAAGGACACAAGAAUUGGCAAGUGUUGUUGCUCCCAGGCCCUGCUGCAAGAGUUCUCCAGUCCACUCCAGUCUGGGAAGGAAGAAUGUAGCAAGUCCCUCUCUUCUGUACUCAACAACCACCACCACCACCUUCAUUCAGGCUUGGGAUAAGUUUUGUACAUUCCAGCACUUCAGUAAUAAGGAAAAAAAGUGCCAUGUUUAUAUUAUUGUUGUGUAUUUAUUCACUUAACAUUCACAUUAAAACAAUAAACAUUCAGUAUACCAUCUUGAACAUAA